GAACCUCACAGGCCUAGGUGGAAUGCAAGGACAGAAACCAACGUGCUUCCUAAUAAACAUUGGGACACAUGGGGAGGAAGAAGCAGCUAACCCUGAACUGUUCUCUGAAAUGCAGCAUCGGGGGCCUAACCUCAGCUGCCUUCAUUGCGGACCUCAGAACCACCUCGUGCCAGGAACAGAAGACUCCAAUCAGGUCUGCUGGACCUGACAGUAGCAGCCGCCUGCACAUGGCAAUGCCAGGCAAAGCAGGCAAGUUCCACUCAGCAACUGCACAGAACCAAUGUCCACCCCAAGACACAGCUGGCUUCGUUUGUUUAUAACAUCCCCGAACUGCAAGCAACCUGAAGGUCCUUCAUCAGUUGAAUGGAGAAAAGAAUGGUGAUCUACCCACACAGUGGAAUAGUACUCAGUAGUCAACAGGACUAUAUAGAAAAGACGGCUCGGAUGGGUCUCACUAGUACCAAGUUGAUCAAAAAGGGCCAGAUCAAGAGGACACAUUGCACCAUUCAACUUCAACACAGGUUCCAGAGGCAAAUUGAACCUUCGGGAAUUAAAAACAAAAGAUCAGAAUAAAGGUUACUUUGGUGGUAGGUGGGUGAGGUUGCUGCCUGGGAAGGAAGAUGAGGCAACAACCAUGGAGAGAUCUGGGUAUCAAUAUAUAGGUAGAAAUUACCCGUGUACCCACAUCUAGAAGCAUGUUGAGCUUACACUUAAAAUUAGUCUAUAUUAUACAUGUGUCAUACAUAUGACAUUUGAGAUAUAUGACCUGAAGUUUGCCUCUUAAUAAACGAAGUCCAUCGCUGUUCAAA
Peromyscus leucopus (white-footed mouse) is the source of this 809-nucleotide long non-coding RNA. RefSeq lists it as uncharacterized. The record is from RefSeq and is a predicted model, not a curated record. Lineage: Eukaryota; Metazoa; Chordata; Mammalia; Rodentia; Cricetidae. The transcript is spliced from 2 exons.